UGGGUUGAAUACUUGUGUUUUUUAAAACAUUUAAUUUGAAAUUUUAAAUCUAAACAAAUGGUAAAUCAACCAUGCUUUUUAUAUGCAAAGUAUUUCUUGACCCUCCAAAAUUCACUGCACUGAACUUUGCUUGUUCCCUGCUGCGUUUGUCACAAAUGAGAAAUGUGACCAAGACUGAGACUGACAGAGUGCGAGAUUCGUGUGAGGAUUACAUUUAGUUUGAUUAGUAUUACAAGGUUUCGUUUCUAUGUGAAGAAAGCCGAGCUCUUAACUCUGAGCCGUCGGCCCUAUGCUAGUGAUAGACAUAUUACUCUUUCUCCAUCUCUCCAGCUCAAUCUAUCUCUACUCGCGCUAAUCUCCGACUAGGAACUGCUUUCGUUAAACUUUAGGCUAAGGUAGCUAUAGCAAAGAUCACUGUAAAUUAAAAAAAAAAAAAAACGUAUGAUAAGUUCCUCCAAGUAUGCAGACGAUGAUAGCCAAAACGCUGCGUUAGCUUUAGAGUAUACACAUACAUAGUGUAUACACCCACUUAGAUAGAUCGAUGGGCAGCAUUUUGUUUGUUACUUAAGGGGUUCGUAAUUAGUCUAAGCGUCCAGGCAGAUAUCAAUUCAGUAGCCACGAAUGUUUAUCCACUAAGUGUACAUAUUGUAAUGCACUAGCUGUAGUUAAUUAUACGUACGCAUAUAUAUCUCUAUAAAUAUCAAAUGAAUUAUUCAAUAUAAUUAUGCAAAUGUGAACACAAAUGAGUAGACAUAACAAAUAAUAUUUAACAUUAAUAGUUACAGACAAGUGAAUAAAUUGUGCAUAUAGUAAUUUAAACCGUAAUCAUAAUCAUCGCAGCCCACAUGCCCCACUAAUUAGUUGUUGUUUAAAUACCCGUACGCAUACAUACACACCUAUCUAACACGUUUAGUAAUAGAAAUACCACCCAGGCAUAUAUGAAAAAAUCCUUCAAUUUGAGCCAAGAAAAGCAAGAAGAUCCUUUUUACUCCCUUCUUCGGUUCGCACUAAUGAACUGCGCGAAAUGGCAGGCAAUUAUAUAUAGAUAUAUCCAUCGAUUUGAGAACUUCAGCAAGCACAGGUUCAUUCAGCAUGUUGUUUAUCGCACCCCAAAUGAUGGAAAUUAAGUGCGUUUUGUAUGUGUGUCUAUGCGUAAUUGUAAUUAUUGAUAUCGAAUACGUAUUUACAAUGUAACAAUUACAGAAGCAAAAUAAAAAUGCCAUAAUUAUGAAAUUAAAACCAAC
This is a non-coding RNA of Drosophila melanogaster (fruit fly), 1244 nucleotides long. The record is from Ensembl. NCBI's taxonomy places the organism in Eukaryota, Metazoa, Arthropoda, Insecta, Diptera, Drosophilidae.